CGCGGGGUAGAGCAGUUUGGUAUCGCAAGGCUCAUAACCUUGAGGUCACGGGUUCAAAUCCUGUCUCCGCAA
This 72-nucleotide transfer RNA is filed under the name Datura stramonium (jimsonweed). RNAcentral's name for it is "tRNA-Met". It matches the Rfam family "tRNA". Rfam says of the family: Transfer RNA (tRNA) molecules are approximately 80 nucleotides in length. Their secondary structure includes four short double-helical elements and three loops (D, anti-codon, and T loops). Further hydrogen bonds mediate the characteristic L-shaped molecular structure. tRNAs have two regions of fundamental functional importance: the anti-codon, which is responsible for specific mRNA codon recognition, and the 3' end, to which the tRNAs corresponding amino acid is attached (by aminoacyl-tRNA synthetases). tRNAs cope with the degeneracy of the genetic code in two manners: having more than one tRNA (with a specific anti-codon) for a particular amino acid; and 'wobble' base-pairing, i.e. permitting non-standard base-pairing at the 3rd anti-codon position. Lineage: Eukaryota; Viridiplantae; Streptophyta; Magnoliopsida; Solanales; Solanaceae. The record is from RNAcentral.